This 497-nucleotide ribosomal RNA is filed under the name uncultured bacterium. RNAcentral's name for it is "partial 16S ribosomal RNA". It matches the Rfam family "Bacterial small subunit ribosomal RNA", at positions 28 to 507 of the family's 1533-position model. The record is from RNAcentral.
GAUGAACGCUGGCGGCGUGCCUAAUACAUGCAAGUCGAGCGAACAGACGAGGAGCUUGCUCCUCUGACGUUAGCGGCGGACGGGUGAGUAACACGUGGAUAACCUACCUAUAAGACUGGGAUAACUUCGGGAAACCGGAGCUAAUACCGGAUAAUAUAUUGAACCGCAUGGUUCAAUAGUGAAAGACGGUUUUGCUGUCACUUAUAGCUGGAUCCGCGCCGCAUUAGCUAGUUGGUAAGGUAACGGCUUACCAAGGCAACGAUGCGUAGCCGACCUGAGAGGGUGGUCGGCCACACUGGAAGUGAGACACGGACCAGACUCCUACGGUAGGCAGCAGUAGGGUAUCUGACGCAAUGGGCGAAAGCCUGACGGAGCAAGGCCGCGUGAGUGAUGAAGGUCUUCGGAGCGUAAAACUGUGUUAUUAGGGAAGAACAAGUGUGUAAGUAACUAUGCACGGCGUGACGGUACCUAAUCAGAAAGCCACGGCUAACUACGUG